Molecule: ribosomal RNA, 440 nt
Filed under: uncultured bacterium
Lineage: Bacteria
Description: partial 16S ribosomal RNA
Rfam family: Bacterial small subunit ribosomal RNA
Source: RNAcentral
CCUACGGGAGGCAGCAGUAGGGAAUAUUGCUCAAUGGGGGAAACCCUGAAGCAGCAACGCCGCGUGGAGGAUGAAUGUUUUCGGAUUGUAAACUUCUUUUGAUAGAGAAGAAAAUGACGGUAUCUAAUGAAUAAGCACCAGCUAACGACGGGCCAGCAGCCGCGGCAAUCCGGAGGGUGCAAGCGUUAAUCGGAAUCACUGGGGGUAAAGAGCGCGUAGGCUGGAUAGCAAGUCAGAUGUGAAAUCCUAUGGCUUAACCAUAGAACUGCAUUUGAAACUGUUAUUCUAGAGUAUGGGAGAGGUAGGUGGAAUUCUUGGUGUAGCGGUAAAAUGCGUAGAGAUCAAGAAGAAUACUCAUUGCGAAGGCGGCCUGCUGGAACGUAACUGACGCUGAUGCGCGAAAGCGUGGGGAGCAAACAGGAUUAGAUACCCUGGUAGUC